GACGAACGCUGGCGGCGUGCUUAACACAUGCAAGUCGAACGCUGAAGCUCAGCUUUUGUUGGGGGGAUGAGUGGCGAACGGGUGAGCAACACGUGAGUAACCUGCCUCCUUCUUUGGGAUAACGCCCGGAAACGGGUGCUAAUACUGGAUAUUCACUGGUCUUCGCAUGGGGGUUGGUGGAAAGGGUUUUUCUGGUGGGGGAUGGGCUCGCGGCCUAUCAGCUUGUUGGUGGGGUGAUGGCCUACCAAGGCUUUGACGGGUAGCCGGCCUGAGAGGGUGACCGGUCACAUUGGGACUGAGAUACGGCCCAGACUCGUACGGGAGGCAGCAGUGGGGAAUAUUGCACAAUGGGCGCAAGCCUGAUGCAGCGACGCCGCGUGAGGGAUGGAGGCCUUCGGGUUGUGAACCUCUUUCGCUCAUGGUCAAGCCGCAACAAUGGUUGUGGUGAGGGUAGUGGGUAAAGAAGCGCCGGCUAACUACGUG
Molecule: ribosomal RNA, 483 nt
Filed under: uncultured bacterium
Lineage: Bacteria
Description: partial 16S ribosomal RNA
Rfam family: Bacterial small subunit ribosomal RNA
Source: RNAcentral